AUUGAACGCUGGCGGCAUGCUUUACACAUGCAAGUCGAACGGUAACAGGGUGCUUGCACCGCUGACGAGUGGCGAACGGGUGAGUAAUGCGUCGGAACGUGCCGAGUAGUGGGGGAUAACGCAGCGAAAGUUGUGCUAAUACCGCAUACGUACUGAGGUAGAAAGUGGGGGACCUUCGGGCCUCACGCUAUUCGAGCGGCCGCCGUCUGCUUAGCUAGUAGGUGAGGUAAAGGCUCACCUAGGCGACGAUCAGUAGCGGGUCUGAGAGGAUGAUCCGCCACACUGGGACUGAGACACGGCCCAGACUCCUACGGGAGGCAGCAGUGGGGAAUUUUGGACAAUGGGCGAAAGCCUGAUCCAGCCAUGCCGCGUGUCUGAAGAAGGCCUUCGGGUUGUAAAGGACUUUUGUCAGGGAGGAAAUCCCUAGUGCUAAUAACACUGGGGGAUGACAGUACCUGAAGAAUAAGCACCGGCUAACUACGUGCCAGCCGCCGCGGUAA
RNAcentral lists this ribosomal RNA (500 nucleotides) under uncultured bacterium. RNAcentral describes it as "partial 16S ribosomal RNA". It matches the Rfam family "Bacterial small subunit ribosomal RNA", at positions 30 to 523 of the family's 1533-position model. The record is from RNAcentral.